Symphalangus syndactylus (siamang) is the source of this 5267-nucleotide long non-coding RNA. RefSeq lists it as uncharacterized. NCBI's taxonomy places the organism in Eukaryota, Metazoa, Chordata, Mammalia, Primates, Hylobatidae. The record is from RefSeq and is a predicted model, not a curated record.
CUCUUCCGCUGUGUUACGGGGUCAGGGGAAGCCCAAACGGGUCGUCACCCAGAAGGCGCCCGCUGAAACCCGCCUAUUCUUCCCAGGCCCCGAGAAAACGCCGCCCCCUCCGGGAAGUCCUGGAGCCUGCAGGAGACAUCUAGCCCGCUGUCCAGGGCACCUUUUUUUUUCUCCCUAUAUUUCGGUUGCUCGCGUCUCUUGGUGUGGUUUGCCCACGGCUGCAGCGCCAGGACUUUCCCAAGGCCAGGGAGCCUGGCUGUCUAAUUCGUCCACGUAGGUGAAUGAGCGAAUCGAAGGUAUCUACCAGCCUCCCUGCUUGAACAUCCCGUGAGCACCUCUAAUUGUGUCCUUAAAAAAACUGAACUCAGGGCCGGGUGCGGUGGCUCAUGCCUGUAAUCCCAGCACUUUGGGAGGCCGAGGCGGGCGGAUCACCUGAGGUCAGGAGUUCAAGACCAGCCUGGCCAACAUGGUGAAACCCCGUCUCUUCUAAAAAUACAAAAAUUAGCCUGGCACGGUGGCAGGCGCCUGUAAUCUCAGCUACUCAGAGGAGGCUAAGGCAGGAGAAUCGCUUGAACCCAGGAGGCAGAGAUUGCAGUGAGCCGAGAUGGCACCACUGCACUCCAGCCUGCAUGUCAGAGACUCAGUCUCAAAAAACAAAAAGCUGAACUCGGAUUCCAGCCAAAUCUGGAUUUCUCGCCUCCGUGAAGGGUACAACUGGAGACGCUGUUCCUUGAUCUAGAAACCUGAGCGUCACCUUUACCUCAUCCCUUUCCCACAGUUGCUUUCUUCUGCCAAUUACAGCAUGCCCUUCUUCCUUCUCAGUUCCUCUCAAACUCUUAUGUCACCCACGCCAGUCCUUGUCCUGGCCACCACCUGCUCGCCUGAAUUGUUGCCACUGCCUCCCAACAGGUCUCCCUCUCUCCAGCCAGACGCCCUACAAUCUGCCCUCACCUCACUGCCAAAAUGAUCUUCUGGAAGCAGAGAUGGAGCUGAACCUGUAUUCAAGCCGUCAGUUGGAAUCCAACCAGUUAUAGGACUGACAUCAGGCUCCAUAGCCAGGAACCCAUGAGUCUUUGUAGCCAGGCUCCAGCCAGCACUUCCUGCAUCAUUUCUGACCAGUUUCCCAAAUUGCUUUCCCUGCUGCCUUCCUGCCCCCACUGACCCAAUACAGAAUCCUGUACUCUCAAGGUCACUCCACUCUCUUCUGUUUCUAGACAGCAUUCCUUCUGCGUGGAACACGCCAACUCUUGUCUGCUUUGACUUUUCAAAACUGCAUGAGACAGCCGGGCGCGGUGGCUCAAACGCCUGUAAUCCCAGCACUUUGGGAGGCCGAGGCAGACAGAUCACCUGAGGUCAGGAGUUUGAGGCCAGCCUGGUCAGCAUGGUGAAACCCCAUCUCCACUAAAAACACAAAAAAUUAGCCAGGCAUGGUGGGGGGGCGCCUGUAAUCCUAGCUACUUGGGAGGCUGAGGCAGGAGAAUCGCUUGAACCCAGGAAGCAGAGGUUGCAGUGAGCCGAGGUCAUGCCAUUGCACACCAGCCUGGGCUACAAGAGUGAAACUCCGUCUCAAAAAAAAAAAAAGAAAAGGACUGCAUAUGACUCCCCAGCAAAGCCCUCCCUGAUACCCUCAAACGGCCGAUGCCUCAGCAGAAGGCAGCACGCCUGGGCUUUGGAGUCAGACCUGGAUACAAAUCCUUGUUUUGCCGGUGUGACCUUGCCAAGUCGUCUUUCCUGCAGGACAGAAGGCAGCAGCAGCUCUCCCUGAACUGGCACUCUGGCUUCUCUUGCCCCAGGGUCUGUUUCUGCUCCUUGGACAGCAGGUGCAUGUGGGAACUGUGCCCUCUUCAGCCAUGAGUCCCUGUUCUGCUCACAUCUAGCCCAUCUUCCAAAUGGACAGACAGGCUGUGGUUGUCGCCAAACCCCUGAUUCUGGCCAUGCCCGCAGUCAGAGGGAUGGCGAUUUGUAAGCUACAGAUUAUUGCGAAUCAUUCACUUGGAGACUUCACUAAGACCACUGGCACCAGGCUCCGUAGACCCUCGGGAAGAGCAUGGUCUGGCAGGCAAACUGGAUGUGGCCACAGAUAACAUCCCCUAGGGGAGAGCGUGGUGGGCCUGCAGGCCAGAAUGCCACCACUUUCUCCUGUGUCCUUCCAGAGAGAGCCUAUGGCUAUGCACGCGUGCUGCUGCAGAGGGUAGUGCUCUGUACCUCCUGGGCUCACUUACUGACUUCAGUCUUAGGGCUUAUUCCAAUUGGUACAUAAUGAUCAACCUAAUACUUUGUAAUGGUAAUAUUCCAUCAUAUGGAUGUGUUGUUUAUUUAACAUUGUGGUUGAAUAACCAAGAUGUUUAGGUUUCCAGUUUUCCAGGAAUAUCAUGCCCCUCCAUCAUUUGCCCACCUGUAAGGGUAACUACAGGUGAGCAGCUCUUAGAACUGGAAUUGCUGAGUCAACUGCUCUGUGCAUUUCCUUGCUUUUUCUUUCUUUUCUUUUCUUUUUUUUUUUUUUUUUUUUUUUUUGAGACGGAGUCUCACUCUGUCGCCCAGGCUGGAGUGCAGUGGCGCGAUCUCGGCUCACUGCAAGCUCCGCCUCCCGGGUUCACGCCAUUCUCCUGCCUCAGCCUCUCCGAGUAGCUGGGACUACAGGCGCCCGCCACCACGCCCGGCUAAAUUUUUUGUAUUUUUAGUAGAGACGGGGUUUCACUGUGGUCUCGAUCUCCUGACCUCGUGAUCCGCCUGCCUCGGCCUCCCAAAGUGCUGGGAUUACAAGCGUGAGCCACCGCGCCCGGCCUCUUUUCUUUUCUUUCAUCUUCUUUUAUUUAUUUAUUUUUGGGGUAAAUUUUUAUUGAAGUAUAGCAUAGCGUAGAUAUAGGAAAGUGCAAAAACUUAAAUGUACAAUUCAAUGAAUUUUCACUAAGCCAACCCACUGUGUCGCCAGCACCCAGAUUUAGAAACAGAAUAUUAUCAGAAUCCCAAAAGCCCCUGAGCUGCCUUCCAGUCACUACUUACCCUUUCCCUGAUCCCCUGCAUAGGAUAAUCCUUAUCAUGGCUUCUGACACCGUUGGUUGGUUUGGGAUGUAUUGACACUUUUUGUGUGUGUGUGACACUUUUAUAAUACAAAGAAAAUCAUAGAGUAUGUUCAGUUUGGGGUCUGGCUUCUUUCACUCAGUGUGUUGUUGUGGGCAGUUGGAGUUUGUUUAUUCUCAUUCUUCUGUUGUCUUUCUCUUUGGUUGAGCUUACUGGGCUGGAAGCAGUACAAGGACCAGAACAUGCUGUGAGCUGACCAGCUGCUGGGCUGGCUGUCUAGUUGACAAAUGACCUAACAAAUGGUUGACAAAAUGGAUGGAUGAAUGAAUCACAGACCCACUAAUCCACUGACCUGUUCAAUGCCUGACUGGAAAAAGGGAAAUGGAGACACAGAGAACAGAAGCAGCCUGUCUCAGUUACUCAAAGCGUGGGCAGAGGAAUGACUAGACGCCCUGCCUCCAGACUCACGCUGAGUCCCGCCCCGAACCACACUGCAGUGCCACCCUGCCACCUCUUGGACAGAGUACCCCAGGAGCGCCCCAGAAGAAAGCCUCAGGAGGCCAGCAUGUCUCUGGGCAACAGCACAAACUGCCGACUGGCCUGGGAGGGCAGCCUUCCAAGGGUCCUCGUGGCUACCCAGCCCAUCUGCUCAGCCAACUGCAUCUGGGUAUGUUGCCAGCCCGACUUCCCCAGUGACCCAGCGUAGUGCUGGCACCAGCGCAGAUGGGGCAGCAGGGCCAGCCAGGCCAGGAGCUCAAGGCACUGGCAGAGUGACCAGUGGAGAAACAUCUCACAGGGUGACUUGGUGUGGAUCCCUGUGGGGCCUGAGCAGGAAUCUGUUGGGACGCUGCUGUCAUUCCUGUCCCCUGGGCAGAGCCAGGGGGCACUUACCCAGGUCUCUGCUCAGGCUGAUGACUGGUACUGUGUGCCACUCAGGGUUGGAGGCGGGGAGGCCCAAGCCGGCUAGCUUCCUGACUCAGCACAAAAACGAAUUUUAACCACUUCAAGGAAAUGCCCAAUCUGAGGCAGGCCAGCCUCUGGCUCAGAGCUGAGCACAUUGGAACCAGGAGUCACCACCCUCCCCCAGGCAGGCCAGGCCCUCUGCCAAGGGCUUUCCUGGCACCAGGGCACUCAUCACCAUUGGCUCCUCCUGCUGGCCUGUUCCGUAGCCACGGCAUCUCCCCCUCUGCCCAGGAGCCGCCACCCAGGCUGCAGUCAGUGCCCCUCCCAGGAGUCCUCAUGUGGGCAUCUCUUCUAUUGCUUGGUCAGCUUAUACUUGUCUCUGCCCUAAACUGGGGGCUCCAACUCCAAAGACCGUGGAAACCUUUACUGAGUAGGCCCAGUGCAGGCUGAGGCUGAUCCUCACCGAGAAACUGGUAAAGCACUUAACCAGGGUGGGCUUAGAAAGAGGCCUUGUGCCCAGGUUGGUCUGCAGCCCCUCCCUGGACACCUUCCUGGCUCAGCGUCACUCACAGAUCCAUGCUGGGUCCCCUUGGGUUACUCUGGGCCACUCUGCAUGGCAUGGGGAGCUGAGAGAGGCACAGUCCGCCUGUCUGCAGUCAUCUGGCACUCACAUUUUGGACAGAAUCAUCAUUCCUUUCACUAACCCUAGCUGCCCUCUCCCCAGUUUACCACUGCUGUGUGGGAACUUGAAAAAGUGGGUAAAAUUAGCCGGGUGUGGUAGUGUGCGCAUGUAAUCCUAGCUGCUUGGGAGGCUGAGGUGGGAGAAUCGCUUGAACCCAGGAGGUGGAGGCUGCAGUGAGCCAAGAUCACGCCCCCGCACUCCAGCCUGGACAACAGAGUGAGACUCCAUCUUUAAAAAAAAAGAAAAAGUGGGAGCCGUCGCUCUACUACAAGAAGGACCCCUCUUUCUGCUUGCUGGUGUUGGGCCAUGGCAGGAGGGGGCAAGGCCCCGGACCGAACUCGCUGAACUCCCUGGCUGUAGGCUCAACUCCCAGAGGCAGUGAUGGACAACCACCUGGGGGUCUGCUGUUUUGCUUUUUUAUGCCCAUUCACGUGUGGGCUGCUCUUCAGUAAGCAAGUUCCUGUUGAAGCUGGAUAUGCUGCCAGCCAUUGGGCUGGGCACUGGGGAGAGAUGGGUGUGACAUGGUUCCUGUGUGACCUUGGACCAGUAGCUUGACUUCUCUGAGCCUGUUUUCUCAUCUGUAAAAUGGGGAUGGAAACUAUAACCACAGGAUGUCAUGGGAGUAAAAUGAUAUCAUGCUCAUAAAAAUACUUGACAAAGG